This is a long non-coding RNA of Myotis myotis, 194 nucleotides long. RefSeq lists it as uncharacterized. Lineage: Eukaryota; Metazoa; Chordata; Mammalia; Chiroptera; Vespertilionidae. The record is from RefSeq and is a predicted model, not a curated record. The transcript has 3 exons.
GGGAGCCACUCCAGACCUUAGGAAGGUGCAGUACAGAGAGUUUCCAAGUCCAGAGAACAUUCUGUUCCCAGCCUUUGGUUUACAACCGAAUGUGCUUUACAUUUUGAAGACAAGCUAUAGCUUGUAAAUCGAAUGUGGAACUCAUCUGAAGCCUGAGCCAUCCAUCACUCGUUAUGUGGGAUGGUCUACAGACC